AUGUGUCAGGGCACACACAAACACCCACACACGCGUGGUCACACGCAGCUCCGUGUCAGGGCACACACACACACACGUGUGGUCCCACACAAUGACACGCGUGUCCCCGCCGCUCUCCUCCUUGUCAGGGCACACACACACACACGCGUGUUCACACGCCAUGACAUGCGUGUCCCUGACUCUUUCCCCCGUCUCAGGGCACACACACACACACACACGCGUGCGCGCGGUCACACACGCAAUGACAUGCGUGUCCCUGACUCUUUCCCCCGUCUCAGGGCACACACAUGGUUCUCACACACACACGUGUGUUCACACACCAUGACACGCGUGUCCCCGACUCUUUCCCCCGUCUCAGGGCACACACGUGGAUCUCACACACACACACACAGGUGGUCACACACCAUGACACACGUGUCCCCACCACUCUCCCCCGUCUCAGGGCACAGACACACACACACACGCGUGUUCACACACAAUGACACACAUGUCCCUGACUCUUUCCCCCGUCUCAGGGCACACACACACACACACACACACACACACCAUGACACGCGUGUCCCCGACUCUUUCCCCCGUCUCAGGGCACACAGACACACACACGCGUGUUCACUCGCCAUGACACGCGUGUCCCCGCCGCUCUCCCCCAUCUCAGGGCACACACACACACACACUUGUUCACACGCCAUGACACGCGUGCCCCUGACUCUUUCUCCCAUCUCAGGGCACACACACACACGCACACGCCAUGACACGCGUGUCCCCGACUCUUUCCCCCGUCUCAGGGCACACACGUGGGUCUCACUUACACACACACACAUGGGUCUCACACACACACACAUGGGUCUCACUUACACACACACACGUGGGUCUCACUUACACGUGGGUCUCACUUACACACGUGGGUCUCACUUUCACACACACAUGUGUAUCUCACUUUCACACACACGUGGGUCUCACUUUCACACACACACGUGGGUCUCACUUUCACACACACACGUGGGUCUCACUUUCACACACACGUGGGUCUCACACACACGUGGGUCUCACACACACACACGUGUAUCUCACUUUCACACACGUGGGUCUCACUUUCACACACACGGGUCUCACUUACACACGUGAGUCUCACUUUCACACA
Molecule: long non-coding RNA, 1141 nt
Filed under: Numida meleagris (helmeted guineafowl)
Lineage: Eukaryota; Metazoa; Chordata; Aves; Galliformes; Numididae
Description: lncRNA (ENSNMEG00000002559.1)
Source: RNAcentral